RNAcentral lists this ribosomal RNA (425 nucleotides) under uncultured bacterium. RNAcentral's name for it is "partial 16S ribosomal RNA". It matches the Rfam family "Bacterial small subunit ribosomal RNA", at positions 354 to 796 of the family's 1533-position model. The record is from RNAcentral.
GUGGGGAAUCUUAGACAAUGGGGGCAACCCUGAUCUAGCCAUGCCGCGUGAGUGAUGAAGGCCUUAGGGUCGUAAAGCUCUUUCGCCGGGGAAGAUAAUGACUGUACCCGGUAAAGAAACCCCGGCUAACUCCGUGCCAGCAGCCGCGGUAAUACGGAGGGGGUUAGCGUUGUUCGGAAUUACUGGGCGUAAAGCGCGCGUAGGCGGAUCGGAAAGUUGGGGGUGAAAUCCCGGGGCUCAACCCCGGAAUUGCCUUCAAAACUCCCGGUCUUGAGGUCGAGAGAGGUGAGUGGAAUUCCGAGUGUAGAGGUGAAAUUCGUAGAUAUUGGGAAGAACACCGGUGGCGAAGGCGACCACCUGGCUCGGUUCUGACGCUGAGGCGCGACAGCGUGGGGAGCAAACAGGAUUAGAAACCCCAGUAGUCC